RNAcentral lists this non-coding RNA (30 nucleotides) under Mus musculus (house mouse). The record is from RNAcentral. RNAcentral also lists the same sequence under 4 other names. Lineage: Eukaryota; Metazoa; Chordata; Mammalia; Rodentia; Muridae.
CCGUAGGUGAACCUGCGGAAGGAUCAUUAA